ACGUCAUAUCCAGCAAAAAGAGAUGCUAGUGGAUGUGAAAAGCGACUUGCUUAUCUUACAGAACAGAUCUCCACGACUACAUAAUUAUUUAGAGGCGAAUAUCAUGAUGUUACAACAAACCUUUGGGGAAUUGAGCUGCUUCAUAACAGAUGAAAAUGAUAACUGGAGUAUGAAACGAGCUCCCACCGGCACUAUCACCAACACUACCAUCACCAUGGCACUAUCACCACUGCCACCACCACAGCACCAACACAUAUGGCAAGCGGAGUUAACGAGUAAAUCCUGAGAAAUUUACAACUGGAUCAUGGAGACACUGCUGUUACAGGGGAGGGAUGAUCCUUAACCAGUGACUAAGUGAUAAAGGAGGUACCUGUAGCUGCCUUAUUUGGACCCAGUCUGUGGCCUCACACACGUGCUCUACUGUUUUUCUCUAAAUCCAAGGUUAUAUAGAGAAGCUAACCUGAGGUCUGACACAAAUUGUUCUGUUCUCUUUGUAAAGAUUCAUGUGUUAUAUAAUACUGCACCACUUACUGUGGCCACAAUUGUUGUACAUUGUGGCCACUGUUGUUGUACUGUACAUCACUUUUUGUAUACCUGUACAGUAUUGUCCAUAUACCUGUACCUGCAUUGUCUAUAUACAUGCUGGACUGGACUGUAUACUGUACUUCAUUGUCUAUAUAUGUGGUAAGUAUCGCUUACACACGCAUAAUUAUUACUUAAUUUGUUAAAGUAAAAUUCACGUUUCUCCUAACAGUGCUUGGCCUAUUGGUUCCAGUGCUUGGCUUUGAGCCUAAAUUCCACAAAUAAAUCGAUCAAUUAAUCCUAGCAGUACAUGCACUCUCAGAUGCUGUACCCAGCUUAUUGUAGGAAAGAUUUAUGAGUCUCUAAUUAAGUUCUAUGAAGACUUCAACCAGCUGUCCCUUGGGGUACUGUACCAUACUGCACUGUAGAUGUAACAUAUAAGUAAGAACACAAUAUCUUGAACCUUGUCGGAAGUGUUCUUCCCCUGGGUGUGUUAACAGCUCUGGCAGUGUUCCACGUCUCAACACCAGGAACCAAUCCUGUCUGACAUGACUUAACUUAUUAGUUUAAGGUAUAUACCGUACUCAUUAUAACUCAGUGUUAUUUUUUUAGUGUUAAAAUACAAUGGUAAUCAAUUACUAGUUUAUUUAUAUAAACUAUAUUUAUAUAAACUAAUUUACCAGAUUUAAAGUAAAUGCCGAGAAUAGUCAACUGGUCUCAACCCGGUGAACCAUCUGAUGGCCCCUUACGUUCAUCAGACUAAUUAUUUAUAAUAGUAAUAAAUCAUCACCACUAUUUAUAUUUUUAUACAUGUGAGUCACGGAUUAUACAAAUUACUGUAAGAAAGGCAAGAUUGACCCAUGACAACAAGACUAUUUCACGUGAAAUUCACACAAAACCACGACCCAAAUAUCCAUACUGUAGGUGCUUCUUGGCUCCACGGGGCAAGUUGUUACCAAGUUUGAUUUACAAUUCACAAUUAUUGCAUGGAAUUAUACAAUUUCCACAAUAUAUGUUGAACUAUAUACCUGCAUUGUGUAUGUUCUGAACUGUAUACAUUACCUGCAUUGGCUAUAUGCAGAUUGAGCCAAUUGUAAAC
Homarus americanus (American lobster) is the source of this 1621-nucleotide long non-coding RNA. RefSeq lists it as uncharacterized. The record is from RefSeq and is a predicted model, not a curated record. The transcript is spliced from 4 exons. NCBI's taxonomy places the organism in Eukaryota, Metazoa, Arthropoda, Malacostraca, Decapoda, Nephropidae.